CUCGGGGGUCCGAGUUGUUUUUUGCAGAGGACGCUUUGGCGUCCCUCGCGGUCUAAGUUCCUUGGAACAGGACAUCAGAGAGGGUGAGAAUCCCGUACGGGGUCGCCUGCCUUCGCCGUGUAAAGCCCCUUUGACGAGUCGAGUUGUUUGGGAAUGCAGCUCUAAAUGGGAGGUAAAUUUCUUUUAAAGCUAAAUACCGGCCAGAGACCGAUAGCGCACAAGUAGAGUGAUUGAAAGAUGAAAAGCACUUUGGAAAGAGAGUCAAACAGCACGUGAAAUUGUGAAAGGGAAGCGCUUGCAGCCAGACUUGCCUGCGGUUGCUCACCCGGGCUCUCGCCCGGGGCACUCUUCCGCAGGCAGGCCAGCAUCGGUUUGGGCGGUCGGAUAAAGGGCUCUGACACGUAGUUCCCCUCGGGGUCGACAUACAGGGGAGACGUCAUGCGACCAGCCCGGACUGAGGUCCGCGCAUCUGCUAGGAUGCUGGCGUAAUGGCUGUAAGCGGCCCGUCUUGAAACACGGAC
RNAcentral lists this ribosomal RNA (521 nucleotides) under Periconia sp. Its description in RNAcentral is "eukaryotic LSU rRNA". It matches the Rfam family "Eukaryotic large subunit ribosomal RNA", at positions 129 to 666 of the family's 3401-position model. Lineage: Eukaryota; Fungi; Ascomycota; Dothideomycetes; Pleosporales; Periconiaceae. The record is from RNAcentral.